Molecule: non-coding RNA, 87 nt
Filed under: Pseudomonas tolaasii NCPPB 2192
Lineage: Bacteria; Pseudomonadati; Pseudomonadota; Gammaproteobacteria; Pseudomonadales; Pseudomonadaceae
Source: RNAcentral
UGUGGGAGCUGGCUUGCCUGCGAUGCAUGCGCCUCGGUGUAGCAGGUCUACCGAGAUGAUGCCAUCGCAGGCAAGCCAGCUCCCACA